CAAGCGGUGGAACAUGUGGUUCAAUUCGACGCAACGCGAAGAACCUUACCUGGGCUUGAACCGCACAGGACCAGCUUGAGAAAUCAGGCCUCUCGCAAGGGACCUGUGUAGAGGUGCUGCAUGGCUGUCGUCAGCUCGUGCCGUGAGGUGUUGGGUUAAGUCCCGCAACGAGCGCAACCCUUACUCGUAGUUGCCACCCGCAAGGGGGAACUCUACGAGGACUGCUCCGGAUAACGGAGAGGAAGGUGGGGAUGAGGUCAAGUCAGCAUGGCCUUUAUGUCCAGGGCUACACACGUGUUACAAUGCGCGCCACAAAGCGUCGCGAACCCCGCGAGGGGGUACUAAUCGCAAAAAAGCGCGCUCAGUUCGGAUUUGCAGUCUGCAACUCGACUGCAUGAAGCUGGAAUCGCUAGUAAUGGCGCAUCAGUGCCGGCGCCGUGAAUACGUUCCCCGGGGCCUUGUACACACC
This 469-nucleotide ribosomal RNA is filed under the name uncultured bacterium. Its description in RNAcentral is "bacterial SSU rRNA". It matches the Rfam family "Bacterial small subunit ribosomal RNA", at positions 926 to 1391 of the family's 1533-position model. The record is from RNAcentral.